UCACACUGAGGAUGAUGUCUUUCAGAAGAAUAAAUUGUAUUUCUGUUGUAUAUAAAGGAGGUUGAAGCACUGUUGAAAUUUUUUGACAUUUGCCAUGUUUAAUGCCAGAUUUUCAACUCUUUGUUUCUUAUGGAAAACCACACAGAAAGUGAAACGAUUAUUUCUGUAAAUUUUGUUCCAUUAAAGUUGCUUUAACUAAUGUAGUCAAUUGUCCCUUUCUAGGGACUUCUCCACUGUUCUCUGGAAACUGGGCUUGAAGGAAACCAACCAGGAUGUGAACUGUAAAUCCUCAUCAGCAAAGUGAAGCAGAAAGCUGGCAAACAGCUGCCAACUGGCUGGUUUCGUGUUUUAUGGGGGAGAGCUGCUGUUUGUGUUUGUCCUGAUCAGGCCAGAGCACAAUAAACUUCAGGGAGAGUUUCAUGGUGAGAGACAGUUCUUGUACCAGCACAGAGCUACAGCCAUUUCUAUGGAAAUUGAAAGUUUGAAGCUCGGGAGAAAGCAGCAACAAAUUUCCCAUCAGACAAGAAGAUGGCUCAAAGACAACAGCCCAGAGCUAACCUUCAGGUGAUCUUCCCUGUGGAUCUUCUCUGUGUGCAGAGGACACAGGACCAGCUCACCAUUUUAUUUCCUUGGAAACUUCUCUGACACCAGUCUCUUCACAAGGAGAAACAGGAAUUUUCUGUCACUCAGAAAAGAAAGGGCUCAACUUCUCUUCUUGACCUGCUCCAGACUAACAGCUUUUUGGUAUGGGCAUCACUGGCACCUGCUGGACAGAGGACCUGCAUAUCCCCAUUGGAACCACCAGCAGUUCUCCAUGACCCACUGGCCAAAUUGUUUAUUUAUUGAAAAGCACUGGACAGAAAUGUAAGUGCUUUGGGUGGAGAUAUCCAGCUUGGGGAUUAUGUUGGCAUAUAAUAUGGGCUUAGAUAUGCUGAAAUAUUUUCAGUUACGUUAACUCACAACAAAUUGCUGCUGAAAUUUUAGUAACCCAUGGAUUGAUUAAUAUUUUUAUAAGCUGUCAAGUAUCAAUUACUGUGAAGCAGAGGAUCUGUUUGCUAAACUUACAAGUUGUAUGUCUGAAGUUCAUGAUCAUUGAUUUUAUUAGAUAUGGACUUGCUACAGACCAUCUGAGAAGUCUCUUAAUCAUUUGAGAAAUAUUUGUGCCUGUUCACUUUUCUAAUUCUUCUGAUAUUUCAUUCUUAAAACACUAAUGUGGCCACUGUAGAAAGAAGCAAUUCACUGAUACUAAUGUCACAGAUAUAGUAAACUAUAGCCAUAAAAUUGUUCAGAAGUACAAGGUAUAUAACCAUAAACUGAUUAUUUGAUGUUUCCACUUCUGUAAUUACCCUGCUACAUAAAGUUGGUAUUGAAAAAAUAGUCUUCAAAAUAUUUUUAAACACAGUGAUCAUUCAUUAAAUGCAAUUAUUUGCUCUUUUUAACUCAAACAAUACAUCAUACAAUAUAGUAGAUUUUAAGUAUAUGUUGGAAUAAUAGACUGCAUUUGUUGAACUUAUAUAUGUUUACAAAAUCAAGGUUGGUUUAAACUCAAAACACACUUCCUAUUGUUACUGAAACAGCAGCAUUACUGUUGCUGUGUAUGUUGCUGACUUGUUUGGUUCCCUGCUGAAGCUGUGUUUAAAGAAGUCAGAACUGUGGAAGCUCAGUAUCUCUCCACAACUAGGACAAAAAUUUCUAAUACACUGAAACAGAAAAUAUUGAAUAUCAUUCUCCUAAAGUUCACUAUCAAAACAAAGAGCUAAAGGACCAUGAGCCAUACGCUACCUAGACCAGCCCUUAGCCUUUACAUUUCCAAACAUUACGUGAUGUGCAUGCAGCUGCUGUGCAGGCCUUCCACAGGCACAGGAUUAAACACAAUUCAUAUCAGGAAACUAAGUAAUAAUAAUUAGCUCAUUUACUAGGUGGGGGCAACCCAGAUAAGGAGGUCACUCCUCCAGGGAAUGGAGAGAAUAAAAAGAAAUUUGUGGCUAAAUGAUACAAAGGUAACAAAAGCUACUUUGCACUAUGUGACUGGUGUGUAAUUUUGGACAGUUGCCCAAAACUGGCACUGGCUGCAGUCCAUUUUUUUAAAGGUUGAAGCAACAUUGUGGGAUUGCAAAUUUAUUUCAUAUUGAAUUCAGACAGCAGGGGAGAAGAGAAAAUAAAAAGUAGAAGCCAAAGAAAUUGUAAAUAAAAAAUAAGUUACACCAAUCAAGAGAUCCUAUAUAGAGCUUUUACUGUGAAUUCACUGCACAUCCUAUGCCCUGAAAAAUCAAAAAGCCAUUUCACCAGAUAUUUUGAAAGUAUGUGGAGUGUGUACACUGUGUUUUCACACAAUAUAUUACACUGACCAGAGCACAGGCUUUGGAGGAAAGAAAAUACAACAGAUCAGAAAAUGUAAUUUUAUUUUUUUCCAUUAUUGAGGAGUUGUAUAGUUUUGUAAUUUUUCACUGUAACUAAGUAGAAUGGAAGAUGGAAGGAUUAACAUUGUCCUUUGAAGAGAGUAUAUUAUUAUUUUUGCAUAGAAAGGACUACUGCUUGUGUUACUCUUUAUACCAAGAGUGUUAGUAAAACUGGAAAAGAGAAAAUAGAAACAGUCAUCUUCUUGCCUUUCUCUUUCAAAGAGAGCAGGCUCUUAUGAAACUGUAAAAUACUCAUUGAAUUGCACUUCAGAAACACCUGGGGCUUGUAAACUAAAGUACUUCAAAACCAGUUCCAUCAUAAAGAUAGAAUCUGCUAUUUAAGUGCUCCGUAGCCAUCUGAAGAAGUCCAUCUAGUGCCUAAACCAAACAUCAACUAUCUUGUUCUUUGGUAACCUGAAGGGAAGUUUCUGAUGCUGGCAUAAGACUUAGUCUAUGUGAUAACAUUUAGUAUUGCUAGAUAUUGACCUUUUCCAUAGGAGACAUUCAGCAGUGUGACACCAAAACCCUCACAAAAUUCCAUUUCAUUAAAAGGAAACAGUUUUGGAAGGGGUGAUAGAUGAUACAUUACCACUAGGCACUUUCAGUAUUUGGUUUGUAUUUCAUGAAGAUUCUCAUCUCAAAAAUGUUAGUUUUGUCAUCAGUAUUUUUUUAAGUGAACUUGUUGUGGAAGAUGGUUCAUCAAAGCACUGUAAACAGUUUUGUCUCCCUAAAAGUAGUGCUAGGUCAGGUUACCAGAACUUCAAAUGGUAUGUAUUAAUGCCAUCAUAUAUCACAACAAGAACACUGCACGCUCCUGAAAUAAACAGAUCACUUUCUAUCUGUAAAGAUAUUUAAAUGCCCAAGGAAGACAUCAGACUACAGUUCUCUGUCUGUACCUGUAUCGGAGGAGACAUUGAACCUAAAUGCAACCUUGUUCCCAGUCUGCACCAUACCCUUUCAGGUGUGAAAGGAUGCAUUUGAAAGCUACAGAAUUACUUUGUGCCCAAGAAAGUUGGUGAAAGUACCUGUAAAUGCAGGACAGGGAGCCUGUUGCAGAAGCAGAGGACUGCCCAGGGCCGGGGCUUUAGAAAUCACUGCUGGCAUUCUGCCCUUCUCCCUGGAAGCUCUCCACAGAACCACGUGAGUUAUGACAGUGAUGUGGGCAUAAAGUAGAUAUUACAUUAGUUCCCUUUAUGUAGGAAGCUGAAAAUUAUCUGACUCAAGACAGCUGCCUUGACUGCCUGGACUUAAUAGAUUCCCUGACCAGGCAGAAAGCUGCAAAGAAAAUGAGAUUCAGUAACUCGCAGUGAUGCAAGGAGAUGUCGGUGGCAUAUAAGGGAUGUGCACAGAUAAUGUUUUUAUGGCACUGACUGUCUCAGGCUUGAUCAAAAGCUGCUAAUCUUAAUACACCUAUUUUCCUUGACUUCAAUGAGCUUUGGAUAGGGCCCUUUGAGAGCAGAUAUAAGCUAAAAAUAUUGCAGCACCAAGACCAUGCAAAGUCAGUAGAGAAAUAUGAUGAAAUUUAUCAUUAUAAUACUCAGCAGUUUGUAAACUCAUUAACAUUUGCAGAGAACAUGCUGUUUUACCUGUGACCUAUAAAUUCUGGAAAGCUCAGGAGAAUUGCCACUCUGAGAAAUGUUGAUGGCAAAGGUAUUUUGGGGGAAGUAUGAUGAAGCCAUGGGGCAUAGUUUAAUUGUAGUUGUUAUGGGAUGCAAAUGACAAGUCAUUCUGCAUCUAAACAAUUCAUGAGAUUCCACAGAACGGGGUUCAGGUUUGUGAAAUUCCACAGGAAAGUGGGAGUCAGGUUAGCAAGACAUUGCCUGCAAAUUAAAACACAUUCCAUAGAGUAGGGACCAUUUACAGGGUCAAUGACCCAUUAACAAAAGGGUAAGUGAUAUUAAUGCCCCCCAUUCCAACUAUGCCAAAUGUUUUUUUCAAACCUGCUAGUACUGAGGGCAAAAAGUAUAAAUUCUGGGCUAGAUCAGUAAUACCAGAGGCACACAGGGAUCUCAUGUAGGCACUAAAAGAAUAUUGGAGGACAAAAAAAUGACACAGCAAGCAUGAAGCUAUUUACAGACUGAAUAGACAAUUGUGAAUCUUUUGCUGCAGCAUAAGGCAUUGGAGAGUCAGCAGCCAUUGUCUCAUGAGAAAGAACAUAUAUAGUGCUUGAAACUACAGGAAAAGAAUUUUUUUUUUGAAACUUAUAGUUUUACCAGUAUGUUAAGAUAUUUUUUAAAGGCAUUAAAGACUGCUGAUAGAUUUUUUUUUUUGUUGAGUUGCAUAUAUUGCAUGCUGCGUAUGCAAUAUUUACAGAUCCUUAUCAUUAACAACUGUUCAUAACUAAAGGAAAAGCUGGAGAGACUUGUAUUUUCACAAUGUGCUUCAUAGCAGCCUCAAAGUUAUGCCACCCUGGCUCCUAGAGUUAAAGCACUUCCUGGGGCUGCUGCUCCAAGGACAGUGUCCUUGAUGCUCUGUUGUUCUUCCCUUUAAAAGGGCUGCAAUCCCUGGAGCUCACUACAGUUCCUAAAAAGGGUGGCACAGCUCUAGCUAUUUUAGGGAACUUCUGACUAACUCCACCUGAGUUUCUGGCCCUUCUCACCCCAAGCCAUGCAGGAAUGGGUCUUACAAUCUUUUCCAUAGUUUGGAUAUCAUGCACUACCAAAAACUGGUCCCUGUCCUGGCCAGGAGCAAUAAUACAAAGCAAACUAAAACUGCCAGUCUCCUGCUGGUUGUGUAUAGAGCUGAGAGAGCCUCAUGUAAAUGGUUUGCUGCACUGGGUAUGUCAACAUGGUUUUUGAAGUACAUUUGUGUAGGCAAAAUCCAAAUAUAAAGCAUCCCAAAUUACAGCCACCAAUAAUUGUGCCAUACCAAAUUACCACAGACUCAGUUUGUGUUAUGCUAUAUAUAUGCUAUAAUUUCUGGGGAAUUACCAGCAUUAAGGAAUCAUUUCCACAUUUUUUUUAAUUAAUUACUUCUGUGAUCCAACCUGUAUGCCAUCUAUUCUCUGUGUUCCAGGAAUCAGAGUAACUACUAAAAACUCUAGAACAUUAUUUUAUUCUCAAGAGACAGAGUAUUAAUUUGGUAUCAAGUUAGCAAAUGCUUUUAGGAAAACCUCAAAGUUUGGGAGUAUCAGAAUAGAUCUCCUAGAAUUAUUUGACAAAGGCAUGUGAGUUGAUCAAUCAUGCACAGAUAUUCAGGAAAUCAGCUGAUAUCCUGAGUCUCACAGCCAUAUAUGCAAUAGGAAUGUAUUUGUUGUGUGCAUAGAUUUACCUACAAUGAAAGAAAUAGAGAAAAAUUAAAAAGUUUUGAAAUGUAGCCCUGUCUUUCUUAAUUCAGCUUUUGGCUUCACUGCUGAGACUUCAAAUGUGCAGCUGGAGGAAGGGAGAAACAGGAAUUUCUGAUGUGUACAUUUGUCCAGUAGGAACUAGAUGGAACUGCCAGCUUAUUACACAUGGACCACUGAACACCAAGCAAACACUACUCUCUCCCUCCUGCACAUUUGCAGUGUCUGUGGAUUUCCUCAUAUAGUUACUUAUCCUAUUAGCUUAAGGGAAAAGCUGUAAUUGCAUUCACAUGAAAGCAAAAUCUUCAGAAUAUGCUCUUUCCAUUAGUAUUCUUCUCCUUUUUCCUAUUAUUACUUAGGGUUUAACAGAACUCUCAGGAUUAUAAGUAUAUUUUACACUUCGAGUUUGUAUUAUUAUAUGAUACCAAAGGAAGUAAAGAAAAAAAUUAAAGAAGUAUUUAUGAAAAAAAAAAAAGUUGUCACUAAAAUCUGACUCCUAUACAGAAACAUAGCAGCAGUUUGGCUUCACAGGCACAUGCUGAUUAUAGGAGCUGCUGGGAAAAAUGAUAGGACUUGGAUAUUACAGAGGGUACCUGGACAGAUCACAGAUCUAAUGGAACUGGUUUCUCCUUUGAAUCUAUGAACCCACCCAGUCCAUGCCACUAAGGGAUGGUCAGAGAUGGAGGUUGGCCAGUGUGAACACGCUGCUGUGGAUCACAGCUCUACCCAUUCACUUCUCCUUUCUUUCUUCCCUGUCAAGGGAAUUUAGCACUGAGAUUGCUUUAGCCUAAAGCCCGGAAUAAGAGGGAGAAGAGAAAGCACCAGGACUCCACCUUUCCCAAGAGCCCAGGGACUCUGUCAGCCUGCCACAGACCAAUUUCCCCAAGUAACAACUCCACCUGAAAUGCAGUCUGUCAGUAAAGCUAACAUGCUUCUGUUUAAAAAAACCUCUAUUUUCUUCAGGAAGACCAAGUGUAUUAAUAAAUUAAACAUUUUCUAAUAAACACUCUAACGCCUGUUUUAGCAAUCUGUCUGCUUAAGAGAAAAGGUUACUGACACUAUUAAGAAACUGGGAAACUUGUUUCUUUCCAGAUUAUUUACUGCUCAAAGGAUUGGAAAUCUAGUGACACAUAGUUUAGGCUGCAGACUUACAAACUGGCCACUGUUAUGCUCACUGUGACUGUAUUUAAACUGGGGAUCCACAAGCACCAUGUUCUAUUUCAUCAUCCAGUCUCUUAAGGCUUUUUUUCCCCACAGCAGUUAGGCAAUGCCUACAUCCAUUUCAGUAGCAGGAGUUUUUUCAUACAGUCAGAUUUUAUUCCUAUUUUUGAACCACCAAUGCUAACUAAGCUGAUUUCUUCAGUGAAUUGCAUAAAAAAUUAAUAAAUUAGCCUUGGAAAUAAUUCUAAUUUUUAAAAAUUUUAUAAUACUCCUAUUUGAAGAUUUAUGGAUAUUGGAAAACUUAAGGUUCCCCCAUUGUCACCCUAAAAUGAGCUCCUGAUUAGUACCAAUUCCUAAUUUUUUCAAAGUGUUUAUUUUAAUAACUGUGUUAACCUGGAGUUGCAAGGAAACUAGAAAGUGCUCUCUAGUCAGCAGCCGUGAUUGUGGCAGACUGCCAGGAUGUUUGUGACCUCUAGAAAUCCUUAAAGGUUUGAUCAGCAUUUCCUUUUCCAAAUACUCUGUUGUUUCUGUUUUAAAUUACAUCUCAGCGUCUCCAGAGUAGGUGAUGAUGCUAAUGUGAGCGAUACAACAGAUUGUUACAAGCAUCCUUGGAUUAUGAGAUGGGAAUAUCUUGACUUUCUAAACAAUGCUAGUGUUUAUUGUAUUAUAGUUCUGAAAUUAUUAUAGUAUUAUGCUGAUGCACAUUACACUGCUGCACGUCAAGCAUAUUCUUUUAAGAUCCAGUGAAUGGAAUUUAAGGACUGUCAAAGGCAAGGAAAGACAAUACAUGACUGUCCCCAAUUAUGUGUCAGGAUGAGAAUGCUAUUUUAACCUUCACAUUAUGUUGCACUAAAUCCUAAAGUCAGAAGAUACAAAUUUGUUGACUUUUAUGUGCCUGUAGAGUUAAUAGUUCCCACAAUUAUAAAGUGUUGUAAAUAAUGGGUGAAAAAUCAUGCUGUUGCUGCUAAAAUACAUUUGUUUGCUUCAAAAUGUGCAAUGAGUUCAUCUAGGGCCUCUUGUAAUUGUAGCUGCAGAAUAUAACAGAAAAAUUAUCUCUCAGAAGGCAUUUUUUGUUCAUAUAUUCAUAAAAAGGUUUUCUUCCCCUCUAACACUUUAAGGCAAGUUGAUAACAAGACAAGGAUUCCUUCCAUAGCUGAGGAAAAAUCCUCCAAUGUCAAUGCUGCACAGAGAUUACAACGUGCUAUGCAUGUUACACAUUGCACAGCACAUGUGGGGAUAUAGAUCAAUGUAUGUAAACUGUGGCAGCUUAAACACACUCUGUGUAAGUGGUCUAAUUCAGAAAUUUGAAGUGGAAUGUCAUACUCCAUUGUAGAACACAUAUAGGCUUGCAGCUACCCCAAAGUGAUAAGAACAUUAAAGUAUGUAAGAAAACACAAUUAUUUGUUUAAAAACCCCAUAUUUGUUAUUCUAAGUCAAGUAGCACAACUUGAAGCUUUCAGAAAUUCAUAACGCUUUUUCAGCUAGAGUUGGUGUUGAAGCUGAGACAAACAUAUGCUGUCUUUUCCCAUAUCACCUUUGUGGAUCCUUAUGCUGCAAUGACAUUUUAAUGGGAAGUUGUUUUCUUCCAUGCAUUUAUAUGUGUUUUCAUUGAUUUUUUAAAUUAAUGAUCACCUCUAAACAAGUAUGAUUUUUUUUCUGUAAAUUACAGAGCAUCACAUAAAUUUAUAUAUAGUCCAGAAUCCAGCAUCAGGUAUUAACUAUUUCAUUUCAACUCCUUUGCCAGGAUUUCUCUAGAAUACUUGCCUUGUCACCAAAACUGUGGCAUAUCUUCAUUACAACUGUCAGGCACAGGCAGAAUCACAAACAUGAAGGAAAAAAAUGCUUUGAUGGGCAAGAAAGAGACUGGGAGAGAGAGUACUGAAACAGUGGUAUCAUCCACAAGAUACUCUGUGGGGUGUGGAGAAUGAGAUUUUGCCUGGCCUCCUGGCUCAGUCAUUAAGUUGUUAUUACAUUGUAUGUAUGAUGAUACUGGUAUUCAGGCUUAUUUUUGCUUACUCAUUUUCUGAUAUUAUUGAACUGCGGCUUAAAAAGAAAAAUAUAAUAUAGUUAUUAUCCUAACCUCUACUGAAUGAGUUAGGUUGAUACAAGGUCAAAAUCCAUUCCAGGUAAUUUUACCAAUGUGGAUAAUGAGCGUUCUGCAGAUACAGCUCUGUUCUGAAAGUUCAGUGGCCUAUGCAGGCUGCUCCAGGUGCACCACACUACCUAGCUCAGAAAUUUUGAAUUUUUUUUAAAAAACAAUCUCUGGAACAUCUUGAAUAGAGCAGACUCUUUCCAUGUGCCUUCUGACAUCUUCUUUGUGAAACGUGGCUGUUCAUUGUCAUCUUCCUUUGACAGCUUCUCUCAUCUCCUAUGUUCAACACAUCCGCUCUGAGCAAUUUACCUUUUCAUCUGGAAUUUCUUUAUGUUAAGGCUAUGCUGAUCCUCAUUCGUGAAUUGGAUCUGCCAGGCUGGCUGAUAUUGGAUCCUGCAGUUUGCCAACCCUCGUUUGCUCUGACUGCUGGCGAUAGCGGUGCGCACCACUUCAGGCAGCAGUGGCAGCAGCAAUCUAUGCACGCCAGUUGUAGGUAUCUGAACAUAAAUAUGAUAAUGCUGGACCACAGCCAGCUCUGCUCUGGCUUCUGCAACACUGUUCCACAAUAUGAAGCACAAAGAUAAUCUGAUGCUCAGAGGUGUUCAGCUUGCAGGCAGGCAGACUGGAAAAAAGCUCAGCUUUGCUGAAAUGGACACAGCUCCAGCUGUGAGGCCUCAUCAUUUCUUAUAUGGAGGGAGUGUCAGGAACUGUUUUGACAUAAGAAUGAAGUCCAUGUUUUAGUCCUGUGUACGAUGUAAAAAAGCUCUCCGUGUCUUAAUCAGGGGAUAGCUGGUGACAAUGACAGUUAGGAGCUUUCACUGGUAGAAAAUCCACAGGACAGAGUAAGCAGUCUGCGUGCUGCUCAGUUAUCUCACACAGGUCAAAUCUAGGGAAAUCCAUGGCUGCAAGUUACUAUGAGGACAGUUCUAAAGGAUUCUUCAGAUGAUGGAGUAUUGAUCCAGACAUCCUGACUGCCAGGAUUCAGUCAUGCAUGUGAUAUUGGACUAUGACAUGCAAAUGUUCUAGUUUUAAUUUACUGGAGUGAUAAUUCAGAUUAAAUUAUUCCUCUUCUGUUAAUUCCUUCCAAGCUGACAAGACUUGUCAGGAUCUAUAUGAGAAGAGUUUUCUUAAAGUUACCAGCUCAUGGUAACCAACUUGCAGGGUGCACUGAUCUCAAAGUCUAAAUAAGCUACAGGUAUAUGGGAGAAGUUAAUCCAUUUCUACAUACAGAGAUUUCCCAUAGGGAAAUAUGCUCUUAGGACUUUGCCCUUUGUAGUUUGCUAGUUAGCCUCAGGUUGCUUUACACCUUUGCAUCCUUGAAGCUGUGCAGUACCUUCCUUCCCCUGAGUGUCACAAGCCAUAAAGGAGGAUUAAUGCAGCUUUUGAACUGCAUUAACUAUUGCAAACAUUUUCCACCUGGAAGCUUCUAGCACACACUUAAUAUCAUGUAAAGUAGAAAUAAGAAUAAUUAGCACCUAAUAAACUGUCUGCCAAGUUUUGAGCUUGUAUUUCCCUCCAUGAUCUGACCUUCUGACAUAUUCUGACUACUUCCAGACUUUCCUGGCCAAUAAUUUAGACACUACAAAGCAGGCAGACGUAUACCUGAGAAGUAAGUUCUUUGAUCCACACGGAAAAGGAUGUACCAUAGAUUAUCCUAUCCCUCUUUUCUUGUUUUCCUGGCAUUCCCAGACUUUGAUGACUACAUCUCACUGUUUGAUGAUUACAGACUCCCAGAGCAGCAUCUCAAUACUUAUGUGAUUUAUGGAUCCAAACUUUGUGCUAACAAUGCCCUGUAGCAUUUUAUUGUGCUCACUAAAUAACUCGAGGUUUAUUGUUCUUAAAAGAGAACAGGGGUAAUGUAAUUUUUAUUUUGUCUUGCUGUCUGUUACUCCCUCCAGUAGCUUUUUACUCCUUUGCCCUUUUUGGUGUUAUUGAGAUCUCAAGGAUGAGAUGUUUCUACAGCUGUUAGGAAAACAAAUGGCUGAAUGGAGACAAAAGGCUGCACCACAAUCUUUAUAGUUGUUUGCUUGGCUUGUUCUGCUUGCUAACCAGUCUGGAUAUAUGGGCAACUCUGAAAAAAUCAGAAAUCAUUCCCUGACCAAACAAAAUCAAGGAACACAGGAGGAACCUGAGGUACUGCAUGUGGGUUAUUGAGAUGCAGAGGGGCUGAGGGGAGAGGCACAAUCCUCCCUCCUCCUGAUGAACAGACACCAGAGGUGGUAAAGAGGAAAGGGAAAGUUUAGUGUUAUUCCAGUGGACAAUUUCAGCAGAGUAAAGCACUAAGUUACAGAGACCAGAUUUUCAUGGACCACUUGUCUUCCUUUCUAAAAAUGUUUGGGUGAUUUUGACACUUAUAAGAUCUGAAAAUCUCUCCUUAUGCAUAGGGCAGAUAGGUGAUUCACACUUUGCAGCACAGCUCUAGUUCUGUGUCUCUGGUUCCAGAAACAUCUUCCUCUAUCUCCCUAUGUUUGUAGAAAUGAUGGAAAAGGUGUCACCUAGGAAAUAAAGUGUAGCUUGCAAAUAAAUAUUUCAAAGCAGAUUUUCACAAGGAAAUGUUAAUGGCUCUAAAAUGCUAGACUAUGACAAUACAAGGUCAUCAUGUUAUAAACUGAUACAUACACACAUUUGUAUGUGUUUGAAAGGAACCCUGCAGCACUGCUGUUCCUUACUGUAAUUUUGUUACUCUGAGAGGAAAUAAACCUAAUAUAUUUGCAUAAAGUUAUUUAGCUCUCAUUAUGAGAGGCAUAGGAUCACAGUCAGAAAAAAAUUAGUCAGCUAAUUAUUAGAUUAGUGCAUAAAAUUAUUAAUAUAAUGAACAAACUGUAGAAAGAGACAGCUUAAUAGUAUAAAUUGUAGAGUAUAUGCUUAU
This is a long non-coding RNA of Motacilla alba alba, 11804 nucleotides long. RefSeq lists it as uncharacterized. The record is from RefSeq and is a predicted model, not a curated record. Lineage: Eukaryota; Metazoa; Chordata; Aves; Passeriformes; Motacillidae. The transcript is spliced from 4 exons.